Molecule: ribosomal RNA, 459 nt
Filed under: Triticum aestivum (bread wheat)
Lineage: Eukaryota; Viridiplantae; Streptophyta; Magnoliopsida; Poales; Poaceae
Description: partial small subunit ribosomal RNA
Source: RNAcentral
AUGGAGGAGAAAAGGAGAAAUGAAAUUGAAAUGUUUAGGAAGAACAAGAAGGAAAGAGUGAAGGAGACUUAUCUGAACAGGAAAGCAGCAGUUAUGGACAAUGAAGAGGAUAGUGAUGAUGAUGAUCUAGUAGAAUAUGGUGAUAUCUUAGCUAGGCUUGAGGAGAUGAGAAGACAGAGGAAUGACCCAGAACUUCAUUUUGAAGGGGACACAUAUGUUGAGGAAAUGUGUGACUCAGAGGUGGAUGAUGAGUUGUAUGUGCCACAAGGUGAAGAAGAGGAUGUAGAGGAGGAAGAGGAGGAGGAAUUGGAGGAAGAGGAACAAGAGCAUGAGCUAGGGCAAGAUGUACCAAACAAGAGAAGGGCCAUGAGACAAAGAAAAGGCCCAACAAGCAAUUCACAUGGGAGUAUAGAACACAUGUUUGAGGAGAAUCUGGGAAGUUUGGGAACUACACAAUAA